This 259-nucleotide ribosomal RNA is filed under the name uncultured archaeon. Its description in RNAcentral is "partial 16S ribosomal RNA". It matches the Rfam family "Archaeal small subunit ribosomal RNA", at positions 748 to 1004 of the family's 1478-position model. The record is from RNAcentral.
CAGCCCUAAACGAUGCGCGUUAGGUGUAUCGGUGACCACGAGUCACCGAGGUGCCGAAGGGAAACCGUGAAACGUGCCGCCUGGGAAGUACGGUCGCAAGGCUGAAACUUAAAGGAAUUGGUGGGGGAGCACCACAACGGGUGGAGCUUGCGGUUUAAUUGGAUUCAACGCCGGAAAUCUUACCGGGACCGACAGCAACAUGAAGGCCAGGCUGAAGACUUUGCCGGAUUAGCUGAGAGGAGGUGCAUGGCGUAGUCGU